RNAcentral lists this microRNA (20 nucleotides) under Ciona intestinalis (vase tunicate). RNAcentral describes it as "cin-miR-4182-5p". The record is from miRBase by way of RNAcentral. Lineage: Eukaryota; Metazoa; Chordata; Ascidiacea; Phlebobranchia; Cionidae.
CAUAAUGGAGGUUUUUUACU